UACGGGGGGGGCAAGCGUUGUUCGGAAUUACUGGGCGUAAAGGGCUCGUAGGCGGCCAACUAAGUCGGAUGUGAAAUCCCCAGGCUCAACUUGGGAACUGCAUCCGAUACUGGAUGGCUUGAAUUCGGGAGAGGGAUGCAGAAUUCCAGGUGUAGCGGUGAAAUGCGUAGAUAUCAGGAGGAACACCAGCGGCGAAGGCGGCGCUCUGGGCCGGUACUGACGCUGAGGAGCGAAAGCGUGGGGAGCGAACAGG
This 253-nucleotide ribosomal RNA is filed under the name uncultured bacterium. RNAcentral describes it as "partial 16S ribosomal RNA". It matches the Rfam family "Bacterial small subunit ribosomal RNA", at positions 524 to 776 of the family's 1533-position model. The record is from RNAcentral.